UGGCAUAGCCUCUCAAGAGAUAACUAG
Molecule: unclassified non-coding RNA, 27 nt
Filed under: Mus musculus (house mouse)
Lineage: Eukaryota; Metazoa; Chordata; Mammalia; Rodentia; Muridae
Description: oocyte_clustered_small_RNA7273
Source: RNAcentral